AGAGCUCAAAUUUAAAAUCUGGUGUGCCUCUGGUCACCCGAGUUGUAGUCUGGAGAAGUGUUUUCCGUGUUGGACCGUGUACAAGUCCCUUGGAACAGGGCGUCAUAGAGGGUGAGAAUCCCGUCUUUGACACGGACUACCAAUGCUUUGUGAUGCGCUCUCAAAGAGUCGAGUUGUUUGGGAAUGCAGCUCAAAAUGGGUGGUAAAUUUCAUCUAAAGCUAAAUAUUGGCGAGAGACCGAUA
RNAcentral lists this ribosomal RNA (243 nucleotides) under Tomentella sp. RNAcentral describes it as "partial large subunit ribosomal RNA". It matches the Rfam family "Eukaryotic large subunit ribosomal RNA", at positions 104 to 339 of the family's 3401-position model. The record is from RNAcentral. Lineage: Eukaryota; Fungi; Basidiomycota; Agaricomycetes; Thelephorales; Thelephoraceae.